RNAcentral lists this long non-coding RNA (577 nucleotides) under Mytilus galloprovincialis (Mediterranean mussel). The record is from RNAcentral. Lineage: Eukaryota; Metazoa; Mollusca; Bivalvia; Mytilida; Mytilidae.
GUAAAAUGUGAAGAGUCAAAAAUUAGUUUUAUGGUUCAAUAAAAUUAAAAUAAAUUAUUGCCAUUCAUUACAAAUAAAUUUCUAUCAAAACUAAGGCUCAAAGUACUUUUUAUAUUAUUUAUAUUAACAAUAACAACGUACACACGUGUUGCCGUAUGAAUACACAACGUCAAAGUGGGCGUGUCGCCAUCAAAAUUGACAACAUUGAAAAUAAAACUAAUAAUUUUAAUCAAUCAGAAGACAGUAAAAACACAAAAUUUAUUUAUUUAAGAUUAACAAUUCUUGCAGACCUUACGAAACUCAUGAAAUCAUUAUUCAUACUGACUUUGUAUAUGCUGUCCUGAACCACUACCCACUGGAUGUCCAACUUUGGUUGAGUCUUCACUUUUUCAUGAACAGUGCUAGAUGGAUAUGUAUUAUCCUUAUAUUUUCCUUUAUUUUGAAUCUAAAUUUGUUUUGUUAACAUAUGUUUUGCUUUUUGUAUAGAUCUUUGAAUUUUAACUAAAUUCCAACAAAUAUAGUAUAUCUCAGCUUCACAAUUGUUCAUUACAAACCUAUGAAACCAUUAUGCAUACUG